UUCAAUCCCCUCCACUCCAUUCCGCCCCCACAUAAUUCAGCCCUUGAAUUUCCAUAUAUCUGUAUCUAUAUAGACCUGUGAGAAGCUUAGAAGUCAUACAUUUUAUAAAAUAACAUUAUUUCAAAAAUUAUAAUCCCAAAUAAUGAGGCCAAACGGGGUGUUAGUACCUCCACAAAGACCGGUCACCUCUAUCCCCCUCACGUCUGUGUAUAUAAAUAUACGUGCGUGUAUCCAUAUUUAUUACCUCUGCAUUUUUAUCUCCGAUACAGUUCAAUCCCCUCCACUCCAUUCCGCCCCCACAUAAUUCAACCCUUGAAUUUCCAUAUAUCUGUAUCUAUAUAGACCUGUGAGAAGCUUAGAAGGCAAACUGUAAUGGCGGAAACUCAGGGAAGGCUUAACAAGAAAACAGUUGAUCCCAAAAAUGGCUACUGCCCACAAACCAAGAUUUACCACAGCCUCCGCUCGUCGGUCCCUUUGCCGCCGC
Molecule: long non-coding RNA, 484 nt
Filed under: Olea europaea (common olive)
Lineage: Eukaryota; Viridiplantae; Streptophyta; Magnoliopsida; Lamiales; Oleaceae
Description: long non-coding RNA (OEUR_LNC000394)
Source: RNAcentral